RNAcentral lists this ribosomal RNA (377 nucleotides) under uncultured cyanobacterium. RNAcentral's name for it is "bacterial SSU rRNA". It matches the Rfam family "Bacterial small subunit ribosomal RNA", at positions 376 to 770 of the family's 1533-position model. Lineage: Bacteria; Bacillati; Cyanobacteriota. The record is from RNAcentral.
CGCAAGCCUGACGGAGCAAGACCGCGUGCGGGAUGACGGCCUAAUGGUUGUAAACCGCUUUUCUCUGGGAAGAUGAUGACGGUACCAGAGGAAUCAGCCUCGGCUAACUCCGUGCCAGCAGCCGCGGUAAUACGGAGGAGGCAAGCGUUAUCCGGAAUUAUUGGGCGUAAAGCGUCCGCAGGGGGCACAUCAGGUCUGCUGUUAAAGGCUGGAGCUUAACUCCGGUAGAGCAGUGGAAACUGGUGUGCUAGAGGGCGACAGGGGUAGAGGGAAUUCCCAGUGUAGCGGUGAAAUGCGUAGAGAUUGGGAAGAACACCGGUGGCGAAAGCGCUCUACUGGGUCGCACCUGUCCCUCAGGGACGAAAGCUAAGGUAGCG